RNAcentral lists this ribosomal RNA (556 nucleotides) under uncultured Streptococcus sp. RNAcentral describes it as "bacterial SSU rRNA". It matches the Rfam family "Bacterial small subunit ribosomal RNA", at positions 100 to 644 of the family's 1533-position model. The record is from RNAcentral. Lineage: Bacteria; Bacillati; Bacillota; Bacilli; Lactobacillales; Streptococcaceae.
GAACGGGUGAGUAACGCGUAGGUAACCUACCUCAUAGCGGGGGAUAACUAUUGGAAACGAUAGCUAAUACCGCAUAAAAUUGCUUAACACAUGUUAGGCAAUUGAAAGGAGCAAUUGCUCCACUAGGAGAUGGACCUGCGUUGUAUUAGCUAGUUGGUGAGGUAAUGGCUCACCAAGGCAUCGAUACAUAGCCGACCUGAGAGGGUGAUCGGCCACACUGGGACUGAGACACGGCCCAGACUCCUACGGGAGGCAGCAGUAGGGAAUCUUCGGCAAUGGGGGAAACCCUGACCGAGCAACGCCGCGUGAGUGAAGAAGGUUUUCGGAUCGUAAAGCUCUGUUGUAAGAGAAGAACGUUGAUGUGAGUGGAAAGUACAUCAAGUGACGGUAUCUUACCAGAAAGGGACGGCUAACUACGUGCCAGCAGCCGCGGUAAUACGUAGGUCUCGAGCGUUGUCCGGAUUUAUUGGGCGUAAAGCGAGCGCAGGCGGUUAAAUAAGUCUGAAGUAAAAGGCAGUGGCUCAACCAUUGUAUGCUUUGGAAACUGUUUAACUUG